Long non-coding RNA from Sapajus apella (tufted capuchin), 536 nucleotides. RefSeq lists it as uncharacterized. The record is from RefSeq and is a predicted model, not a curated record. NCBI's taxonomy places the organism in Eukaryota, Metazoa, Chordata, Mammalia, Primates, Cebidae. The transcript is spliced from 2 exons.
GGGCCAGAGCAGGGACUCCUCUCACAGGUCUGUGUUUGCAGAAACUGAUCUCACUUGGGACCUGUGCACAGCCCGACCUUCUCUAGGGACAGGGCAGCCCCGGGGCAAUGAAAAGGGGCUAUGUGGAGGGUGCAAUCUAUGGAAGAGAACGCCAGGGACCCAGCUACACAGAGCUCAUCUCCCCUGCAAUUAUCCUCAGCAAUGAGCAAUAGAAAUGGCUCAGAACCUCCCUGGGCUCCAUGCAGAGAGUGUCUGGGUCCUGGCAGGAAAUACGCCCGCGAGCUCCUUGGCAGUAGCACUUUGCCGAAACCACCCUGAGGUCUCGGGCCAGGCGUGAAGCUGACACAAAGUAGACUUGCAGUGCGUGUUCAUUUGUUGAAUGCUAAGAAAAGAGUGGAUGGCCGGAUGGAUGAAUACAGGAGUGAGUGGAAUACAAAGCUCUGCUAGCAUUCCUUCCCCCACCCACCAGUCCAUUCUGCAAAACAGAGUCCACCCUCUCUGUGGAUCCGAAAUGCACAUGGAACCUCAUUUCCACA